This 649-nucleotide ribosomal RNA is filed under the name uncultured Basidiomycota. RNAcentral describes it as "LSU rRNA". It matches the Rfam family "Eukaryotic large subunit ribosomal RNA", at positions 1 to 631 of the family's 3401-position model. Lineage: Eukaryota; Fungi; Basidiomycota. The record is from RNAcentral.
CCUCAAAUCAGGCAGGACUACCCGCUGAACUUAAGCAUAUCAAUAAGCGGAGGAAAAGAAACUAACAAGGAUUCCCCUAGUAACUGCGAGUGAAGCGGGAAGAGCUCAAAUUUAAAAUCUGGCGGCCCCCUGGCUGUCCGAGUUGUAAGCUAGAGAAGCGCAGUCCGCGCUGGGGCCAUGUACAAGUCUCCUGGAACGGAGCGUCAUAGAGGGUGAGAAUCCCGUCUCUGACAUGGACCUCCCAGGGCAUAGCGAUUGCGUUCUCAAAGAGUCGAGUUGUUUGGGAAUGCAGCUCUAAAUGGGUGGUAAACUCCAUCUAAGCUAAACAUAGGCGAGAGACCGAUAGCGAACAAGUACCGUGAGGGAAAGAUGAAAAGAACUUUGGAAAGAGAGUUAAACAGUACGUGAAAUUGUUGAAAGGGAAACGCUUGAAGUCAGUCACGUCGGCUUGGGAUCAGCCUUGCAACUGCGAGGUGCACUCCCUGGUCGACGGGUCAGCACCAGUUUCGACCGCUGGAGAAAGGUCGGGGGAAUGUGGCAUCCUCGGAUGUGUUUAUAGCCCUCGAUUGCAUGCAUCGGUUGGGAUUGAGGAACUCAGCGCGCCGCAAGGCCGGGUUUUCGAACCACGUCCGCGCUCAGGAUGCUGGCA